UACGUAGGGUGCAAGCGUUAAUCGGAAUUACUGGGCGUAAAGCGUGCGCAGGCGGUUUUGUAAGUCUGUCGUGAAAUCCCCGGGCUCAACCUGGGAAUUGCGAUGGAGACUGCAAGGCUAGAAUCUGGCAGAGGGGGGUAGAAUUCCACGUGUAGCAGUGAAAUGCGUAGAGAUGUGGAGGAACACCGAUGGCGAAGGCAGCCCCCUGGGAUAACACUGACGCUCAUGCACGAAAGCGUGGGGAGCAAACAGG
This 253-nucleotide ribosomal RNA is filed under the name uncultured bacterium. RNAcentral describes it as "partial 16S ribosomal RNA". It matches the Rfam family "Bacterial small subunit ribosomal RNA", at positions 524 to 776 of the family's 1533-position model. The record is from RNAcentral.